This 254-nucleotide ribosomal RNA is filed under the name uncultured bacterium. RNAcentral describes it as "partial 16S ribosomal RNA". It matches the Rfam family "Bacterial small subunit ribosomal RNA", at positions 524 to 776 of the family's 1533-position model. The record is from RNAcentral.
UACGUAGGGAGCGAGCGUUGUCCGGAUUCAUUGGGCGUAAAGCGCUUUAAGGCGGUUCGCUAAGUCGGGUGUGAAACCUCCAGGCUCAACCUGGAGACGCCACUCGAUACUGGCGUGACUAGAGUUCGGUAGGGGAUCACGGAAUUCCUGGUGUAGCGGUGAAAUGCGUAGAUAUCUGGAGGAACACCGGUGGCGAAGGCGGCGUUCUGGACUGCAACUGACACUGAGGAACGAAAGCCAGGGGAGCAAACGGG